CUUGAACUAGUGCCGGGACCUGUAGCUGAGAGAUUGGAUGCAGUGGGCUGGGAGAAUGCGUGUCGGAAUGGUGGCGUCACACUGUUGGAGCUGGGACUGGACGAGUUGAGGCCAAGGAAGCGCAGAUCAUCCCUCAGACAGAACACGGCCCAACUCCAUCUUGUCUCUGCUCAGCCUCUCGAGCCUGACUCGUGGCCUGCCGGGAGAAGGCUACACGCACAGGUCAUAAUGGAAAGCAUCCUACUGUUGACUUCUUAGAAUUACUUUGGUGCGGUUAUUCGUGGAUUGCAGAAUUUGACUGCUAAUAAAUCCAGUUAUAUGUCCCUGUC
Artibeus jamaicensis (Jamaican fruit-eating bat) is the source of this 329-nucleotide long non-coding RNA. RefSeq lists it as uncharacterized. The record is from RefSeq and is a predicted model, not a curated record. The transcript has 2 exons. Lineage: Eukaryota; Metazoa; Chordata; Mammalia; Chiroptera; Phyllostomidae.